Erwinia sp. is the source of this 123-nucleotide regulatory RNA element. It matches the Rfam family "Enterobacteria greA leader". The record is from Rfam. Lineage: Bacteria; Pseudomonadati; Pseudomonadota; Gammaproteobacteria; Enterobacterales; Erwiniaceae.
ACCAUACUACGGUGCAUUGAGGUGGAAAGUAAACGAUGACCCAAGCUGAACUCUGGGUUAAAAUACGUAUCAAAAUGCAAAACCAUUUCCUGGCCUGGAAACUUUUCCGGGUCAGGAUACUUU